GCCUGUAGCUCAGUUGGUCAGAGCACCGGACUUUUAAUCCGGGUGUCCAGGGUUCGAAUCCCUGCGGGC
RNAcentral lists this transfer RNA (69 nucleotides) under marine eukaryotic metagenome. It matches the Rfam family "tRNA". From Rfam's summary of the family: Transfer RNA (tRNA) molecules are approximately 80 nucleotides in length. Their secondary structure includes four short double-helical elements and three loops (D, anti-codon, and T loops). The record is from RNAcentral.